GGACAGUGACAUGGUCAGUGCUUAUUUUUAAUUGGCUUUCUGGGGACACAAGGGUGGGGUAUGAGGUCAGGAACAAGGCAGGGAAGUCACUCACAAUUGGCUGGAAUCCUAUCCCUUUGGUCUGUACUCUAUCACAAAUCCUCUUGUCCCUGAGUGCCUGAGAUUGCUUCCCCUCAGAGCCUACCAGGCCUCUCUCUGGUCUUCCUACUUCCUUUUGAUUCCAACUAGAAUGUUCUCCAAGGGUUGGCAGAAAGUGCUUUAGUCCAAUAAUCAGGACAUCUGCAUUUGAGUU
RNAcentral lists this long non-coding RNA (292 nucleotides) under Lynx pardinus (Iberian lynx). The record is from RNAcentral. Lineage: Eukaryota; Metazoa; Chordata; Mammalia; Carnivora; Felidae.